AACGAACGCUGGCGGCGUGGAUAAGACAUGCAAGUCGAACGGGACUAAAUCUGUAGCAAUACAGGUUUAGUUUAGUGGCGAACGGGUGCGUAACACGUGGGGAAUCUGCCGAGAAGUGGGGGAUAGCUCGCCGAAAGGCGAAUUAAUACCGCAUAUGAUCAGCUAAGACAUCUUAGCGACAUCAAAGCCGGGGCAACCUGGCGCUUCUUGAUGACCCCGCGGCCUANCAGCUAGUUGGUGAGGUAACGGCUCACCAAGGCUAUGACGGGUAGCUGGUCUGAGAGGACGACCAGUCACACUGGAACUGAGACACGGUCCAGACACCUACGGGUGGCAGCAGUCGAGAAUUUUUCUCAAUGGGGCAACCCUGAAGGANCGACGCCGCGUGGAGGAUGAAGGCUUU
This 403-nucleotide ribosomal RNA is filed under the name uncultured bacterium. Its description in RNAcentral is "bacterial SSU rRNA". It matches the Rfam family "Bacterial small subunit ribosomal RNA", at positions 29 to 418 of the family's 1533-position model. The record is from RNAcentral.